CAGGGGGGUCCUUCACUGUAAGUCUGAGAUAAAAAGCUGAGCUCUAAGCUUGUGUUGACUGAUCAGGCCUCCAGAGAUCAGCUUCUCAAAAUGAGGCUCCCUGCUCAGCUUGUGGGGCUGCUAAUGCUCUGCAUCCCUGGAUCCAGUGGGGAUAUUGUGAUGACCCAGACUCCAAACUUCCUCUCCAAGAGCCCUGGAGAGCCAGCCUCCAUCGCCUGCAGGUCCAGUCAGAGCGUUGCUGGUAGCUAUAGUACCUACUUGCAUUGGUACCUACAGAAGCCAGGCCAAUCCCCACAGCUUCUAGUCUAUGAGGUUUCCAACAGAGCCACUGGAGUCCCAGACAGGUUCAGUGGCAGUGGGUCAGGGACAGAUUUCACACUGAAAAUCAGCAGAGUGGAAGCUGAAGAUGCUGGAGUUUAUUUCUGUCAACAAAGUUUGCAAUAUCCUCCCACAGUGAUACAGCCCCUUACAUAAACCUCCCUGUGUAGGGCUGACAGCUAUCAUCUGUGCUGCUUUUCUAUGCCUCCAAGUCGCCUUGAAGGUAGAUUCUGGGGAACUCAGAGUGAUGGGUUGCUGCUGCAUCACUCAUUUUCUUCAGACAAAGACUACUCUUCUGCAGCAGACUUGGGUGGCAGAAGCAUUAGGAGACUGAUGUCGUCCAUGUGCCUGGUAUCUUUGAGCAACUGACUGUCAGGGUUUUUGUCUGUGUCCCCCAGGCCUCAUGAGUUUAAAUUGUGCAUUUGUUAUUCGUUCAGUGUCUAGUGCUUGGAUUGAUGGUGUCAGUGCUCCACCCACAAAGGGGUGGAGCCAGGAUGUGAUGUAAUGGCAGGAAGCAGGUGUGUCUUGCUCUCUUUGCUGGUUCAAGCUUGCUGUCAGUGGCUGCCAUGAGCUGCGGUCCAGCCAUGCCCGCCUUACUUGGAGCCAACUGAGUGUGGACUGAAACCUCAAAAAAAACUAUAAGAAAUAAACCUCUCCUUUCCCAACUUGGGCAUCAGGUAUUUUGUCUCAGCGACGAGCAUAAAUUGACUAAGACACUGACCAAGAGGACAGACAGAUGUCAGUGACAGCUCAUUCUAGUCUUGCCUGCCUGCCUCAGCUGUCAAGAAAUUCUGUCAGUGUGACAUCUGACCACUUCUGAAGAUUCCUGAGAAGUUCCAUACAUGUAGAAAAUUACCUCUCUGCACUGUAAUUUUCAGAUAUUAAUACAGGGAAAUACUAAGAAAUGAUUUUAGCCAAAUCUUUAAUGUCCACACACCUUAUGCUCAGGGAGAAGAUGACUGAGAAUAAUAAAUAAAUCAUAUAUGAGUAUCAAAGAAUUCUUUUGUAAAUUAUUUGU
This is a non-coding RNA of Cavia porcellus (domestic guinea pig), 1336 nucleotides long. The record is from the annotation of a RefSeq genome assembly. NCBI's taxonomy places the organism in Eukaryota, Metazoa, Chordata, Mammalia, Rodentia, Caviidae.